GGCGGUUUGGCCGAGUGGUUAAGGCGAUUGACUCGAACGAACGGCAUGAGAAUUUCUGUUCCCCAAGGGAACGAGAUCAAGUGUGUUCCGAUAAUCAAUUCCGUUCGCGGGCAUUCGUCA
This 120-nucleotide transfer RNA is filed under the name Penicillium rubens. RNAcentral describes it as "tRNA-Ser". Lineage: Eukaryota; Fungi; Ascomycota; Eurotiomycetes; Eurotiales; Aspergillaceae. The record is from RNAcentral.